RNAcentral lists this ribosomal RNA (479 nucleotides) under uncultured bacterium. RNAcentral's name for it is "partial 16S ribosomal RNA". It matches the Rfam family "Bacterial small subunit ribosomal RNA", at positions 28 to 507 of the family's 1533-position model. The record is from RNAcentral.
GACGAACGCUGGCGGCGCGCUUAACACAUGCAAGUCGAGCGAUGAAAUUUCGACAGAUCCCUUCGGGGUGAAGAUGAAAUGGAUUAGCGGCGGACGGGUGAGUAACACGUGAGUAACCUGCCUUUGACAUUGGGAUAGCCUCGGGAAACUGGGAUUAAUACCAAAUGACACUAACUGAUCACAUGAUCAAUUAGUCAAAGAAAUUCGGUCAAAGAUGGACUCGCGGCUGAUUAGCUAGUUGGUGAGGUAACGGCCCACCAAGGCGACGAUCAGUAGCCGGCCUGAGAGGGUGAUCGGCCACAUUGGAACUGAGACACGGUCCAAACUCCUACGGGAGGCAGCAGUGGGGAAUAUUGCACAAUGGGGGAAACCCUGAUGCAGCGACGCCGCGUAAGCGAAGAAGGCCUUCGGGUCGUAAAGCUCUUUUAUGAGGGAAGAUAAUGACGGUACCUCAAGAAAAAGCCCCGGCUAACUACGUG